This 253-nucleotide ribosomal RNA is filed under the name uncultured bacterium. Its description in RNAcentral is "partial 16S ribosomal RNA". It matches the Rfam family "Bacterial small subunit ribosomal RNA", at positions 524 to 776 of the family's 1533-position model. The record is from RNAcentral.
GACGGAGGAUGCAAGUGUUAUCCGGAAUCACUGGGCGUAAAGCGUCUGUAGGUGGUCAAAUAAGUCAACUGUUAAAUCUUGAGGCUCAACCUCAAAAUCGCAGUCGAAACUAUUAGACUAGAGUAUAGUAGGGGUAAAGGGAAUUUCCAGUGGAGCGGUGAAAUGCGUAGAUAUUGGAAGGAACACCGAUGGCGAAGGCACUUUACUGGGCUAUUUCUAACAAUCAGAGACGAAAGAUAGGGUAGCAAAUGGG